UAUCCUGUUUAUGAUAUUGAACUCUAAUUUGGAGAGAUAUCAUUGAGAGAAACUGGAUAAAAGGUUGAUGGAAUCUCUUUGUAUUAGUUCUUAAAACUGGAUGUGAAUCUACAAUUAUCAAAAAAAUGAAAAAAGAUUAAUUUUAACAGGUUACAAGAAGGGAGCAAAAUCAAGGAAGCCAGUAUGUCAGUUUGUCAGUUACGGCGUGAGCCUUAGAACCCUGACAUCCUACUCGUCAGUGGUCCUGACUGCUCAGGAGUCCUCAGGCUUCGAGGAUUUGAGCACAGUGCUCUGCCAACUGCUGUAGAUAUGACCAAUUUGGGUGCUAAGAAUUGAAGACAAAAGGAUGUUCACAUCAAUCAAAAACCACUCCAAGCUUUUAGGUGGUUAUUCAAGCCCUCAUGGCACAAGAUAGAAGCAUCAGCAGCCAGCUGUCACUGAUGUAUGUGGACGCGUGUAUCAGUUGUACCUUCCUCCUAACUGGGCAUCUGAUGGACCCUGCUCUUAUAUGAGGAUGGGAAGUGGAUCUCAGAGAAGAGAGACCAUAUGAAGCUGACCGUGUCCCUUCAUAGCUAACCCACGUUAACACAGGCCCCGCUGUGGGUCUUGCCGGAAGGUGGCCAGGAAGUCCACCGUGGGCCAGCCCAAGACAAAGGACCUUCCCGCACAGGUGUGGCCUUUCCCUGCUUUGUCCACACGGCCGGCUGUCCACAAGUUGCUCUGCGGUAUUUCACUUUUUAUCCUAAAGGUUUCUUUAUACCUAAAAAGACAAUCAAGGGAGAUCUCUGUUAGUUUCCUGAGCGCGGGAGCAGCUGUGCUCACGGUGAGAAUCCUGCUGUCCCUGCUGGGCGCAGCUCGCCUCAGUCAUUGCUGUCACCGUGGUGCAGACUGACUUUUACAAUGUGUGUGUGACUGAGAAUGAGAUGUGACAGGGAAGAAAUGAGUUGUUACUGCAGGAGGCUAUUUAUUUGUAGCAGGUGUUUCUUUCUCAAAAAAAAAAAUAAUAAUAACACGAUGUCAUAUUAACGGUGGUCAUAAUCGUGCCCAAGUGUUUACUAUGGGAAUUACUAUAGCUAAUUGCCUAAAAAUUGUGGUGAAAUCUUAUACAAAGUGGCAGCAUUCACUACAGACAGCUGCCUUCUCAAAAAAAAAAAAAAAUCUGUUUUCUCCGUUUCAAAGGUCUUGGGCUUAUGAACCAAGUUCAAAUGCCCCAGAUCACUGACACUUUCUAAUAGUCUCAGUGGAUGUAAAACGUUUGUAAGACAAUCGUUCAGAAAUUGAGUCUUAAACAAGGACAUUAUGAAACUGGUAUAAUUUGUAUUACAUCAGAAAACCCUCCAGUGUAUGCAAAGAACAAUCUCAAAGGCAGUAUGCAAAAAAUGAGAAAUGUUGCACAUCUUUCAUGAUAGUGGGUCAGUGAAAAUAAAAGUUCAGUUCUUGCAGAGGUGCAAUUGUCCAGCAGAAAGGGAACAACUGUCUUGACAGAAAAUGUUUUUAGCAGAGUACUGCAGGUUCUAUAAAACCCUUUAAGAUGUUAGCAGUAUCCGGGACAAUAAAUGGCUUCUGGUAAGAGAACAGAGGUCUCCUCCCCCUAAAUACUAUCACAGUUACAAAGGGUAAUAGAAAACGAAGUGAAGGAAAAUAGGUUCCCCUUAUAAAUGCAAUGUGCGUGGUCUGCGAGGGCCUAGGAAACAGAGCAGAGCGUGGUUGUCGGUUGUUUAUGGCUCUGGCUGAGCACUGUUGGGUACAAGGAAAUGCGGCAGGAAGAGCACAGCCCUGGGACAAAGGAUGGCUGGACUCGAGUCCUUCCCCACAGUGUCCCAGUGUACGGCCUUGGGCCACUCACUGAGCCUUCCUCAGCCUCCGUUGUCAUGUCUAAAAGCUGAAAAAGAUAAUAAUACUUGCCUUGGAGGGCAGUUAGAGAAAUCUCAUGAGACAUCUGUGAUGUUUCUAGUAUGGUCUGAGAACCCCUCCAACAAAUUUUAGCUUCCUCUAUGUACUUAGCUUGGUUAAAUAAAGGGAACAGUUGCUAGUCCAAAUUUCUUUUUAAAUAAUGAUCUGUCCUCCAUCAGUGGCUCUUUUGGGACACUUCACAUGGCCCUCAGGCCAAGGCCCCGAGAGCCAUGCUCUCUCUGUCCCCUUGAUGACACCGGCACCUCUCUAGCUACAUUUGUGGGCGAUUUCUCUUACCCAGGGCAGGUUUUAUUAUCUUUGUCUCUGAUUUUUCUGACAGCUGGACUU
This is a non-coding RNA of Microcebus murinus (gray mouse lemur), 2241 nucleotides long. The record is from RefSeq and is a predicted model, not a curated record. NCBI's taxonomy places the organism in Eukaryota, Metazoa, Chordata, Mammalia, Primates, Cheirogaleidae.